GAUGAACGCUGGCGGCGUGCCUAAUACAUGCAAGUCGAGCGAACAGAUAAGGAGCUUGCUCCUUUGACGUUAGCGGCGGACGGGUGAGUAACACGUGGAUAACCUACCUAUAAGACUGUGAUAACUUCGGGAAACCGGAGCUAAUACCGGAUAACAUAUUGAACCGCAUGGUUCAAUAGUGAAAGGCGGCUUUGCUGUCACUUAUAGAUGGAUCCGCGCCGUAUUAGCUAGUUGGUAAGGUAACGGCUUACCAAGGCAACGAUACGUAGCCGACCUGAGAGGGUGGUCGGCCACACUGGAACUGAGACACGGUCCAGACUCCUACGGGAGGCAGCAGUAGGGAAUCUUCCGCAAUGGGCGAAAGCCUGACGGAGCAACGCCGCGUGAGUGAUGAAGGUCUUCGGAUCGUAAAACUCUGUUAUCAGGGAAGAACAAAUGUGUAAGUAACUGUGCACAUCUUGACGGUACCUGAUCAGAAAGCCACGGCUAACUACGUGCCAGCAGCCGCGGUAA
Molecule: ribosomal RNA, 513 nt
Filed under: uncultured bacterium
Lineage: Bacteria
Description: partial 16S ribosomal RNA
Rfam family: Bacterial small subunit ribosomal RNA
Source: RNAcentral